Molecule: long non-coding RNA, 1577 nt
Filed under: Salmo salar (Atlantic salmon)
Lineage: Eukaryota; Metazoa; Chordata; Actinopteri; Salmoniformes; Salmonidae
Description: lncRNA (ENSSSAG00000082845.1)
Source: RNAcentral
CCCCUCCCCCCCUGCGUGACCUGAGCGCGUCUGGUGUGGGUGGACAAAAAAGCACGAGUGCGGAUCGGGUACUGGCUAGAGGCGGAGAGGGUAGUAAGUAGGGCUGCACGCACCAGUAGAUAACAGUAGCCAGAAAAUACUGGGCCGGUACCAAAGGAUACAACCGCCAGGUUGGAUUCGAAUAAAAGUUGCAAUGAAGGACAUGUGUUUCCGGUGUAAUGACACAAAGUGCCCAGAGGUGACGAAAUGUUUUGAUCAUAAUGAUGACCUGAACCAGAAUCUGCUGAUGGUGCCAGGUCCUUUCCAGCAAUGCACAUCCACCCCCUAUCCUCCUUCUGGGAGGUGCACCAUGUGUAGUCUGGAUUAUUAUUACACUGUGUGCAGAAACGUCUCAGAGAGCUUCCAGCCUGCCCUGGAGGCCAACAGCACAGCCAUUACCAACUAUGAACAAGCCAAUUGCCUUGUCAUCGGCAUCGCACCAACUACUGUGAAUGGGUGGUGGUGUUUACUUAUCCCUGUCCUGGUCGUUGUUUGCAUUGGCAUCAUUACUUACAGGUGUAUCAAGAAGCGCAAAAUAAAAAACUAUGUCAUAUAAGGCACUCAGGACUACCCAUCCCUUAACCAAGCUAUUUGGACCCAACCCCCAGAGAAAGUGACAGGGACAGCACUCAGGACUACCCAAACCCCCAGAUCAGGAUGCUGCUGCGUUAUCUCUGCCUUAAUUCCAUCACUUUAACUCUUCUUCUUAAAGUUGUAAUCUUUUAAUACGUUUUCAUAUUCAUAUUCUUGUAAAUCAGUACCGUUAAACCAGUGCCUUGGAUAAUUUUUGGUCCUCUAAUACUGACACCAGCCGGCUAAAGCCUACUCUUAUUCUUAGGAAUAAGUAUGGAAAUACAAAUGUUUUACCCAUGACGCAUCUACCAGGGUAUUUUGAAUGGGGCAAAAAAGGAAAAUAUGUCCAGUUAUUAAUCAAGCAGAGAUAAGCUUAUUCAAAAGUUGAUGCACUUUAACCCACCAAUGAAUUAUAAUUUACACAUGUUCUAUAACACCCAUUCCACCUUUGAAACUUCAUAUGAGUCUGGUCUGCACAUGGCUGAGGGAGGAAUGUAGUGAUUUAUAAUACAAGUUAUUACCAUCAAGAUGAUGGUACAGGACCCCACUACUGAAAAUCAACCUGGGUUCAUAAAUGAUUUGUGCCAUCCAUCUCCCUAAUGAAAAGGAUUUAUCCUAGCCUUCACCACCACUGUACUGUAUGUAAAAGCAUUAUGUUGUACUGUGCUAUUUGUCUAUGUCAGUACUGUAUUUCUAAUGCUAGUGUUUGUGAAAUGCAGUAAGUCUAUUUACAAGUAUAUUUAUGCUGUAAAGCAGGGUUUCCCAAAGUCAUUUAAAUUGGUUAUUUGAAUCAGCUGUGUAGUGCUAGGGCAAAAAAGAUAUAUGGACCCAGGGUGGGCCCCACAACUGAGUUUGGGAAACCCUGCUGUACAUUAUGAGGCUGUAAUACUCUAUUCUAUACCAGUACUCAAGUGUUGGAGAAAAGCAUCAUGAAAUAUUUACUUCUCUUUCUCAAAUAAAUCUUU